GGGGAUGUAGCUCAGUGGUAGAGUGCUUGCCUAGCAUGCAUGAGGCCCUAGCUUCAAUCCCCA
RNAcentral lists this transfer RNA (63 nucleotides) under Neotoma lepida (desert woodrat). It matches the Rfam family "tRNA", at positions 1 to 62 of the family's 71-position model. From Rfam's summary of the family: Transfer RNA (tRNA) molecules are approximately 80 nucleotides in length. Their secondary structure includes four short double-helical elements and three loops (D, anti-codon, and T loops). The record is from Rfam by way of RNAcentral. Lineage: Eukaryota; Metazoa; Chordata; Mammalia; Rodentia; Cricetidae.